Molecule: ribosomal RNA, 252 nt
Filed under: uncultured bacterium
Lineage: Bacteria
Description: partial 16S ribosomal RNA
Rfam family: Bacterial small subunit ribosomal RNA
Source: RNAcentral
GACGUAGGGCGCGAGCGUUGUCCGGAUUUAUUGGGCGUAAAGAGCUCGUAGGCGGCUUGUUGCGUCAGCUGUGAAAACCCGCAGCUCAACUUUGGGCUUGCAGCUGAUACGGGCAGGCUUGAGUUCGGUAGGGGAGACUGGAAUUCCUGGUGUAGCGGUGAAAUGCGCAGAUAUCAGGAGGAACACGAGUGGCGAAGGCGGGUCUCUGGGACGAUCCUGACGCUGAGGAGCGAAAGAGUGGGAGCGAACAGG